Molecule: ribosomal RNA, 300 nt
Filed under: uncultured Collinsella sp.
Lineage: Bacteria; Bacillati; Actinomycetota; Coriobacteriia; Coriobacteriales; Coriobacteriaceae
Description: bacterial SSU rRNA
Rfam family: Bacterial small subunit ribosomal RNA
Source: RNAcentral
GGCUAACGCCGGUCCGGCGGCGGCGGGAAUACGGAGGGUGCAAGCGUUAAUCGGAAUUACUGGGCGUAAAGCGCACGCAGGCGGUCAAUUAAGUCAGAUGUGAAAGCCCCGAGCUUAACUUGGGAAUUGCAUCUGAAACUGGUUGGCUAGAGUCUUGUAGAGGGGGGUAGAAUUCCAUGUGUAGCGGUGAAAUGCGUAGAGAUGUGGAGGAAUACCGGUGGCGAAGGCGGCCCCCUGGACAAAGACUGACGCUCAGGUGCGAAAGCGUGGGGAGCAAACAGGAUUAGAUACCCCUGUAGC